Molecule: long non-coding RNA, 1004 nt
Organism: Homo sapiens (human)
Lineage: Eukaryota; Metazoa; Chordata; Mammalia; Primates; Hominidae
Product: long intergenic non-protein coding RNA 1917
Source: Ensembl
GAACAAGAUCAAGGUUCUAUCAGUGAUAAAUAAGGGAGGCUAAGGUAUUGAGGAACCAUAUAAUGUUAUUUACACUACCUACUUUCUAAUCUGCCUCAUCUACUCACCUUCCUCUUUCUCUUCCUGUAAUCUUAUUGCAUGGAAGAAAUUUUUGGUGAAGACAAGUUGUCUGUUUUUCUUAAAAUCAUUUUUUUAGCUAGUGGUAUGUCUCGAACACUUUCCUAAUAGUUCAUUGAGAUAAAGUCAUAACAUUUUUUUUUUCUUUCUUCGCUACCCUCACUCAUUGCCCCAUUGGAAUUGACUGCAAAUUGCAAUUUUCUAGAGAAAGAAUCAGUAAUCCUUUCUACACAGUGGCCUUGGUGAUUUCAAAACUUUAAGAAUAUUUAAAAUAUUCAAGUUCUUUCUCCAAAAACUGGUGACUUUCUGCUGCUGAGCUCCUGAAAGUUUUUGAGAAGAAAGUUGAAAGGUUGAAAAUGGUGCUGUGUUUAUUUGAAUAUCUGAAGGGUAAACUCCAAGCUACUUAUCUGAAAACAAAUAUUCUCUGAAACCUGCAGAGUAAAGAAGUAUAACUUGACAUUUCUUCUGCAAGAAAAAAACAAGAAGAUGGUGACUUUCAAGACCUCAGUCAAUGACUAAAGUUCUGUGACCACAGUGAGAUAAAAUUCUUACAUGAAAGCCAGAAACACAGGAAUCUCAUCUUCUAAAUAUUUUCUUUAUCCUAAGAAAACACAAAAAAAGUGAAUAGAGUUAAGUGUAGACUAGCAGCGCCAGCACAAGUAUCACCUGGGACCAAGUUAGAAAUGCAAAAUUUUGGCUCCCACUGCAGACCUACUCUGGAGAUCUGAUAUACUUUGAGAACCAUGGCUCUGAAGCAGACUAUCCUGGACGGGCUCUUGAAAUUCUCUGAGGCUUACUUUCUUCAUAUAUAUACAACGUAGUUAUGAAUUCCUUGUUUCCAAAUUUAAAGGUUGGUUGUGAAUAUCAAGUUAUUAAUGUCCUGAAAA